GACAUCCAGAGAACUUGGCAGAGAUGCCUCGGUGCCUUCGGGAACUCUGAGACAGGUGCUGCAUGGCUGUCGUCAGCUCGUGUUGUGAAAUGUUGGGUUAACGUCCGCAACGAGCGCAACCCCUAUCCUUUGUUGCCAGCGAUUCGGUCGGGAACUCAAAGGAGACUGCCGGUGAUAAACCGGAGGAAGGUGGGGAUGACGUCAAGUCAUCAUGGCCCUUACGAGUAGGGCUACACACGUGCUACAAUGGCGUAUACAAAGAGAAGCGACCUCGCGAGAGCAAGCGGACCUCAUAAAGUACGUCGUAGUCCGGAUUGGAGUCUGCAACUCGACUCCAUGAAGUCGGAAUCGCUAGUAAUCGUAGAUCAGAAUGCUACGGUGAAUACGUUCCCGGGCCUUGUACACACCGCCCGUCACACCAUGGGAGUGGGUUGCAAAAGAAGUAGAUAGCUUAACCUUCGGGAGGGCGUUUACCACUUUGUGAUUCAUGACUGGGGUGAAGUCGUAACAAGGUAGGCGUAGCGAG
This 526-nucleotide ribosomal RNA is filed under the name uncultured bacterium. RNAcentral's name for it is "bacterial SSU rRNA". It matches the Rfam family "Bacterial small subunit ribosomal RNA", at positions 983 to 1509 of the family's 1533-position model. The record is from RNAcentral.